RNAcentral lists this ribosomal RNA (467 nucleotides) under uncultured bacterium. Its description in RNAcentral is "partial 16S ribosomal RNA". It matches the Rfam family "Bacterial small subunit ribosomal RNA", at positions 29 to 507 of the family's 1533-position model. The record is from RNAcentral.
ACGAACGCUGGCGGCGUGCUUAACACAUGCAAGUCGAACGGAAAGGCCCUGCUUUUGUGGGGUGCUCGAGUGGCGAACGGGGGAGUAACACGUGAGUAACCUGCCCUUGACUGUGGGAUAACUUUAGGAAACUGGGGCUCAUACAGGAUAGGAGCUCCUGCUGCAUGGUGGGGGUUGGAAAGUUUCGGCGGUUGGGGAUGGACUGGCGGCUUAUCAGCUUGUUGGUGGGGUGGUGGCUUACCAAGGCGUUGACGGGUAGCCGGCCUGAGAGGGUGACCGGCCACAUUGGGACUGAGAUACGGCCCAGAGUCCUACGGGAGGCAGCAGUGGGGAAUAUUGCACAAUGGGCGGAAGCCUGAUGCAGCAACGCCGCGUGCGGGAUGACGGCCUUCGGGUUGUAAACCGCCUUCGCCUGUGACGAAGCGUGUGUGACGGUAAUGGGUAAAGAAGCACCGGCUAACUACGUG